UUUAAGUAUAAGCUGUGCUCCAUACGGAGCUUUGGAGAGAGACUUGGCAUUUUCAAGAGGAAAGUGGGGGCAAAGCAGGGGGAGCAAGCAAAUAGCAUUUGGGAGAGUCGGGAUGAGAAAUUCCCAAAGGUUUUCUGAACAUGCCUGGGACGGUGUGCCGAGAACUGCUGUAAAAUUAAGGAAUGUAACCAGCUUCAUGCCUGCAGCCGGGCACACGUUUCUGUGAUGAGAGCAGUGACUUGGAAGUGUCCUCUUCAAAACCACUCUCCUGACCACCUUGCUGAACAUUUUCCAGGAAGGAAAGCCCCAUCCGAAGAGGCUGACUCCCUUCAGACUCCGGCCAUCUUCAUCUUGACCUGGAAGUGAAUCUGUCAGAUGCAGUGUGGAGCCAGUACCAAGCUUCUCCUGGGGAAGAUGUUCCCAACACUCCAGAGAACAGUGGUGGUUUCAUUCGUGAAGGCUUUGAUGUAGACAGCACUCCCAAGAUUCCAGGUUUUCCAUUGAUUGUAACCUUUUCCCAUAGAAACUGUUCCUGUUCUCAAAUAGGAAAGAAAAACUCUAAACUAGGAAGAAACUCAGCCCUAGGUAAAUGUCAGAGAAGGUGCCUGCAAAAAUCCCAGAAUCAAAAGUUCUGUCUUCGGGGCUGGCAAGAUGGCGUGGGGACGGUAAAGGCACCGGUUGCCAA
Long non-coding RNA from Meriones unguiculatus (Mongolian gerbil), 685 nucleotides. RefSeq lists it as uncharacterized. The record is from RefSeq and is a predicted model, not a curated record. NCBI's taxonomy places the organism in Eukaryota, Metazoa, Chordata, Mammalia, Rodentia, Muridae. The transcript is spliced from 3 exons.